Long non-coding RNA from Limulus polyphemus (Atlantic horseshoe crab), 300 nucleotides. RefSeq lists it as uncharacterized. The record is from RefSeq and is a predicted model, not a curated record. The transcript is spliced from 2 exons. Lineage: Eukaryota; Metazoa; Arthropoda; Merostomata; Xiphosura; Limulidae.
AAAUAAUAAUUAAACGGGUAAACAUGAAGAUAAGAUAAACAGCUUCAGUGGCUGAAUGACUACAACGCUGAUAUAAGGAGAAUAAUAGGCCCAGCACUACGACGUCAAGGGAAAUCUCGAGCUCUGAGCUGGGUCCUGAGGAAGACCUUUAACCUCACCAGAUCAUUCAAAGCCAGUUGAAUGGAAACCAUGAAUUGUGGCUACAGACAAACGAUAUAUUUGUAACUCAAAACUUAUUUACUGUUUAUUGUUUUCUUAUCACGUGUCUGUAUUAAAUUUUAACAUGUUUUGUCUACUAAA